CAACUUUGCUCCCUUCAAAUCGUAUAAAUCUUUCGGCUUUUACUAAAGAUUUCCGUGGGGAGGAACAUUUACAAGUUUCUACCUAAUUUUUUGAGGCUUUGCUUCGGUGAGGCU
This is a small nuclear RNA of Terrapene triunguis (Three-toed box turtle), 114 nucleotides long. Its record names the gene U5. It matches the Rfam family "U5 spliceosomal RNA". Rfam says of the family: U5 RNA is a component of both types of known spliceosome. The precise function of this molecule is unknown, though it is known that the 5' loop is required for splice site selection and p220 binding, and that both the 3' stem-loop and the Sm site are important for Sm protein binding and cap methylation. The record is from Ensembl. Lineage: Eukaryota; Metazoa; Chordata; Testudines; Emydidae.